This 1488-nucleotide long non-coding RNA is filed under the name Lynx pardinus (Iberian lynx). The record is from RNAcentral. Lineage: Eukaryota; Metazoa; Chordata; Mammalia; Carnivora; Felidae.
NUGGGACUUCCCGGGGGGAGUUCCGGGGGUGGGGGGCACAAAGGAGAAUGUCCUACUUGGGAGGGCAGGAAGCUGAGAAACUGGACAGGACGUGGGCUUGGGGAACGGAAGUUUAUCUUGGAUACCGAAGGCUGAGUCUCUUAACGAGACUCAAAAGAGGGACCCUGCUUCCCAUUUCCCUCUUCCAUUCCCAGAGCUAGCGCAGGGCUUAGAAGAAUGCCCUUGGUCUGUUGGUCCAGUGGUCGUCUGUCAUCCAUUUUAAGUGUUCCCACUUUCAAGUGACAAUCCUCUCCUUGGCCCUGCCAUGGGCAGAGCAUGUCUGGCAUACCGGCCCGACUUUUACGCCCUAAUCUUGAGUUGAGGAAAUAUAUGCACAGGAGUCAAAGAGAUGUCUUUAUAUCUGACUGUACAUAAAUGAAGUUUUUUGUUUUUUGUUUUUUUUUCUUUUUGGUGCAAUAAAGUUUGUUUUGGCAGAAGGAGGAAGCGCCUGUGGGUGUGGGAGGGUUUGCGUGAAGGGAGCGUGGGUCUCCUCGACAACCACACCUCUCCCCUGGGUCUGCAACCGUCAGGGAGGAAGAAAGCGCUCAGCGAACUGUCUGGAAGCUGGAAGCUCCCGGCUACGUGACCUGGGUGGAUGGAUGCAGGGCUGCUGGUGACCAGUUUCCCGCCCACCAGGAGAAGAGCGUUUCGUGAGCCCCCCUCGGGCCGCCAAGGAGAGAGAGGAGUGCCGCCUCGGCCUCAGCCGCUUCCAGAGAGAUGCAGAUCCCACAAGGACGGGCAGGCCUCGAGUCUGGGCACCUGGGUUUGGCCCGAGUGUCCCCUGGUAAGGAUAAGGUGUCCACAUUCGGGAUAAUCCAAACCACUGGGUUUUCUGUUUUCUGGCACUUAACCAGCCCUCAGGAGCCCAGCGUUCGGAGACCGUGGAGACGCUGCUUCGCGCAGCCUCCGCCCCACACCCCCGUCCCUACUGGGUAAAGGAGGCCCCCGCUUUCCGGCGCAGAGGCUUUUCCUCCUGGCUGACCACGGGCGUGGGGAGAAACUUCGCGAAAUGCCGCCCCGUGCCGUGUGCAGCCAGGAUACGGGAAAGUGAGGGGGUCUGGUGGGAGUGGACCUAGGCUCUGGCUUUUCUCUUUGCUUCUUCCGCCUGGUGGCCUCUGGUAGAGGACUUGGACCCUUCGCCUGAGACAUUAAGGAGACCUACUUACCCAAGUAAAGUCGUGAGGAUUAGGGGGGGUUCGCAAAUGGGGUAGGUGGGGUAGGUGCUCAGUAAACGAUGCCCUUGCCGCCACUGAGGCUAGAGGGACCCGGUGAGCAACGGGAGAGGGAAAGCCACUAGGAAACGGGAGAACUACCACCGUGUAGGGCCACUGUCGGUCAGUUCCCCCAGAUUCCACGGUUUCCUCUAACCACCACUUGACUUUGACCUCUGUUUCACACUCAGCCGUGUCUGUCAUAACCUGCAGGGCCUCAAGGAAGCUGGAUGAGACC